GGGGGGGCUAGUCCGAGUGAGGCUGUUAGCGAAUCAAAGUUUGACUACCAUACACGCGGAAGAUCAGAAGAAUCGUCUCUCAGCCAGAAUCCUCAUUCUGUCGGCAGGGAGAUCGGGGCCCAGGGAGGCAAAGACACUUCCUGCCCACCCCGCAGGCCAGUGGCAGCCCCAGGGAGCAGGGGCUUGGUGGGUUCUCGUCGCUGCCGGAUCCUAAUGACUGGAAGAGCACCCAGCACGUCACGGUCACUCAGCAAUUAUUUGUUCAACGGACACGUGCUCUUAAGGAGGACUGAGAGGGUGCCUUGAUCAUCUGUUAUAGUUUCAAGACGGACAUCUUGGGGAUGGAAAAGGCCCAGAGAAACGAAAAGAGCACCAGCCAGAAACAUGGUUCGAACCCAGCUCUGCUCUUUAUGAGCCUCACAAGCCUGGCAAGUUCCUUCUCUACACCUCAUCUCCCACAGGUAUGAGCUAGGGCCCGUGGCCUAUCCUGCAAGUUUGUCGUGAGCCUGACCGAGGAAAUGCGUGUAACCAGCAGGUGCUGAAGAAACUCAAUGGAGGGACUCCUCUGGUAUCACUACCCCGCUGCCUCCUGUACACGUGGGCAUUUCGUGCCUCGGCAGUCUGUGACACCCAAAAUAAAGAACCUGGGGAGAAAGCGUGAA
Panthera uncia (snow leopard) is the source of this 662-nucleotide long non-coding RNA. RefSeq lists it as uncharacterized. The transcript is spliced from 2 exons. The record is from RefSeq and is a predicted model, not a curated record. NCBI's taxonomy places the organism in Eukaryota, Metazoa, Chordata, Mammalia, Carnivora, Felidae.